AAGACUAUACUUUAGGGCUCAUUUCUAUAACUGGUUACUAGAGAAGUUUUUCUGAACGUGCAGAGCACUGAAAACCGCGCGGAGGAGGCGCUGCGUCCUCUCCUGGGCGGAAGCCACCUGUUGGUGCCGCUUCGCUGCCUUUGUCGCCUCCGCGUCUGCCACCGCCGCUGGUGGUCCUUCUCUUCCUUCCGGAGGGCAAGAAGGACAGAACGCAGUCUGAGCGGC
Cynocephalus volans (Philippine flying lemur) is the source of this 225-nucleotide small nucleolar RNA. RefSeq annotates it as small nucleolar RNA U3. Lineage: Eukaryota; Metazoa; Chordata; Mammalia; Dermoptera; Cynocephalidae. The transcript has a single exon. The record is from RefSeq and is a predicted model, not a curated record.